GGUCUUACCCGGCAGGGGAGAUGGCAUGAUCAUGAAAAUGGUUUUUCCCAGGGUGAGCUUACCCAUUGCAUUCUGAUGUGCUGAUUUCCGUGAUUUCCCCAAAUGUGGGAAACUCACUCGGCUGCAUAAUUGGUGGUAGUGGGGGCUGUGUUAUGCUCUCUCCUUG
This is a small nuclear RNA of Homo sapiens (human), 166 nucleotides long. It matches the Rfam family "U1 spliceosomal RNA". Rfam says of the family: U1 is a small nuclear RNA (snRNA) component of the spliceosome (involved in pre-mRNA splicing). Its 5' end forms complementary base pairs with the 5' splice junction, thus defining the 5' donor site of an intron. There are significant differences in sequence and secondary structure between metazoan and yeast U1 snRNAs, the latter being much longer (568 nucleotides as compared to 164 nucleotides in human). Lineage: Eukaryota; Metazoa; Chordata; Mammalia; Primates; Hominidae. The record is from Rfam.